RNAcentral lists this ribosomal RNA (470 nucleotides) under uncultured Glomus. Its description in RNAcentral is "SSU rRNA". It matches the Rfam family "Eukaryotic small subunit ribosomal RNA", at positions 569 to 1046 of the family's 1831-position model. The record is from RNAcentral. Lineage: Eukaryota; Fungi; Glomeromycota; Glomeromycetes; Glomerales; Glomeraceae.
CGCAGCCGCGGUAAUUCCAGCUCCAAUAGCGUAUAUUAAAGUUGCUGCAGUUAAAAAGCUCGUAGUUGAAUUUCGGGAUCAAUAUGUUGGUCGUGCCUCGGUACGUACUAGCUUAUUGGUUUCCCCCUUCUGACGAACCAUGAUGUCAUUUAUUUGGUGUUAUGGGAAAUCAGGACUGUUACUUUGAAAAAUUAGAGUGUUUAAAGCAGGCUCACGCUUGAAUACAUUAGCAUGGAAUAAUGAAAUAGGACGUUUGAUUCUAUUUUGUUGGUUUCUAGGAUCGACGUAAUGAUUAAUAGGGAUAGUUGGGGGCAUUAGUAUUCAAUUGUCAGAGGUGAAAUUCUUGGAUUUAUUGAAGACUGACUACUGCGAAAGCAUUUGCCAAGGAUGUUUUCAUUAAUCAAGAACGAAAGUUAGGGGAUCGAAGACGAUCAGAUACCGUCGUAGUCUUAACCAUAAACUAUGCCGAC